This 478-nucleotide ribosomal RNA is filed under the name Pseudomonas cedrina. RNAcentral describes it as "bacterial SSU rRNA". It matches the Rfam family "Bacterial small subunit ribosomal RNA", at positions 8 to 481 of the family's 1533-position model. The record is from RNAcentral. Lineage: Bacteria; Pseudomonadati; Pseudomonadota; Gammaproteobacteria; Pseudomonadales; Pseudomonadaceae.
AGAGUUUGAUCCUGGCUCAGAUUGAACGCUGGCGGCAGGCCUAACACAUGCAAGUCGAGCGGUAGAGAGAAGCUUGCUUCUCUUGAGAGCGGCGGACGGGUGAGUAAUGCCUAGGAAUCUGCCUGGUAGUGGGGGAUAACGUUCGGAAACGGACGCUAAUACCGCAUACGUCCUACGGGAGAAAGCAGGGGACCUUCGGGCCUUGCGCUAUCAGAUGAGCCUAGGUCGGAUUAGCUAGUUGGUGAGGUAAUGGCUCACCAAGGCGACGAUCCGUAACUGGUCUGAGAGGAUGAUCAGUCACACUGGAACUGAGACACGGUCCAGACUCCUACGGGAGGCAGCAGUGGGGAAUAUUGGACAAUGGGCGAAAGCCUGAUCCAGCCAUGCCGCGUGUGUGAAGAAGGUCUUCGGAUUGUAAAGCACUUUAAGUUGGGAGGAAGGGUUGUAGAUUAAUACUCUGCAAUUUUGACGUUACCCG